RNAcentral lists this ribosomal RNA (450 nucleotides) under uncultured bacterium. RNAcentral describes it as "partial 16S ribosomal RNA". It matches the Rfam family "Bacterial small subunit ribosomal RNA", at positions 338 to 795 of the family's 1533-position model. The record is from RNAcentral.
CCUACGGGUGGCUGCAGUGGGGAAUAUUGGACAAUGGGCGCAAGCCUGAUCCAGCAAUGCCGCGUGUGUGAAGAAGGCCUGCGGGUUGUAAAGCACUUUAAGCAGGAAAGAAGGGGUGAAAGUUAAUACCUUUCAUCAUUGACGUUACCUGCAGAAUAAGCACCGGCUAACUCCGUGCCAGCAGCCGCGGUAAUACGGAGGGUGAUUGCGGUAAUCGGAAUUACUGGGGGUGGUGCGCGCGUUGGCGGGUGAAAGCCCUGGGCUGAACCUGGGAACUGCGGUGGAUACUGUCGGGCUAGAGUGUGGUAGAGGGGAGUGGAAUUUCCGGUGUAGCAGUGAAAUGCGUAGAGAUCGGAAGGAACACCAGUGGCGAAGGCGGCUCCCUGGACUAACACUGACGCUGAGGUGCGAAAGCGUGGGGAGCAAACAGGAUUAGAUACCCCAGUAGUC